This is a long non-coding RNA of Zalophus californianus (California sea lion), 466 nucleotides long. RefSeq lists it as uncharacterized. The record is from RefSeq and is a predicted model, not a curated record. Lineage: Eukaryota; Metazoa; Chordata; Mammalia; Carnivora; Otariidae. The transcript has 4 exons.
CAGAUUCUAUUGUGGCUGAUUUUGGAAGAAGGACAGUUUGGCUUACUGCCAUAUUUCUCACUCAACCCUGCUUUGAAGGCAAAGAGCCAGACUUUGAGAGAAAUCUUGCUGAUCCACAGCAUACAAAGGCCUAAAGAUUGUUUCACAACUGCUGUUAGAAGAUAAAGUGAAAUAUUGAAAGAGCCAAGGAAAAUCUUGAGAUACUAAUAGGUGGAGCCAAUCAGUGACCAUAACUCUUCUGGUGUUCCAGACCAAACCAGGGAUACACUAAAGCAGAAAGAAUGGGUAAAAAGUAAAGCAGAACAUUGCUGAGCUUCUCUCUUUCUGUACUUUAGUUUCCUUAUCUUUAAAACGAAGAAUCCCUCAACCACAUUUUAUUAAGAUUUUCAAAUGGAGUGUAGCAGCAAAGAAAGGAGAGUUUCCCAGAGAUAUUCAAACAGAUUAAAGAAAUUUCAAGCAUUUGUGG